This 1689-nucleotide ribosomal RNA is filed under the name Enterobacteriaceae bacterium BIT-l23. RNAcentral's name for it is "partial 23S ribosomal RNA". It matches the Rfam family "Bacterial large subunit ribosomal RNA", at positions 1270 to 2925 of the family's 2925-position model. Lineage: Bacteria; Pseudomonadati; Pseudomonadota; Gammaproteobacteria; Enterobacterales; Enterobacteriaceae. The record is from RNAcentral.
AUGCUGGAGGUAUCAGAAGUGCGAAUGCUGACAUGAGUAACGAUAAAGCGGGUGAAAAGCCCGCUCGCCGGAAGACCAAGGGUUCCUGUCCAACGUUAAUCGGGGCAGGGUGAGUCGACCCCUAAGGCGAGGCCGAAAGGCGUAGUCGAUGGGAAACGGGUUAAUAUUCCCGUACUCGGUGUUACUGCGAUGGGGGAACGGAGAAGGCUAUGUCAUCCGGGCGACGGUCGUCCCGGUUUAAGCGUGUAGGCUGACUUUCCAGGCAAAUCCGGAGAGUUAAGGCUGAGGCGUGAUGACGAGGCACUACGGUGCUGAAGUGACAAAUGCCCUGCUUCCAGGAAAAGCCUCUAAGCUUCAGGUAACAACGAAUCGUACCCGAAACCGACACAGGUGGUCAGGUAGAGAAUACCAAGGCGCUUGAGAGAACCCGGGUGAAGGAACUAGGCAAAAUGGUGCCGUAACUUCGGGAGAAGGCACGCUGACAUGUAGGUGAAGCCCCUGCGGGUGGAGCUGAAGUCAGUCGAAGAUACCAGCUGGCUGCAACUGUUUAUUAAAAACACAGCACUCUGCAAACACGAAAGUGGACGUAUAGGGUGUGACGCCUGCCCGGUGCCGGAAGGUUAAUUGAUGGGGUUAUGGGUAACCAGAAGCUCCUGAUCGAAGCCCCGGUAAACGGCGGCCGUAACUAUAACGGUCCUAAGGUAGCGAAAUUCCUUGUCGGGUAAGUUCCGACCUGCACGAAUGGCGUAAUGAUGGCCAGGCUGUCUCCACCCGGGACUCAGUGAAAUUGAACUCGCUGUGAAGAUGCAGUGUACCCGCGGCAAGACGGAAAGACCCCGUGAACCUUUACUAUAGCUUGACACUGAACAUUGAGCCUUGAUGUGUAGGAUAGGUGGGAGGCUUUGAAGCGUGGACGCAAGUCUGCGUGGAGCCAACCUUGAAAUACCACCCUUUAAUGUUUGAUGUUCUAACCUGGCGCCAUUAUCUGGCGUGGGGACAGUGUCUGGUGGGUAGUUUGACUGGGGCGGUCUCCUCCCAAAGAGUAACGGAGGAGCACGAAGGUUGGCUAAUCCUGGUCGGACAUCAGGAGGUUAGUGCAAUGGCAUAAGCCAGCUUGACUGCGAGCGUGACGGCGCGAGCAGGUGCGAAAGCAGGUCAUAGUGAUCCGGUGGUUCUGAAUGGAAGGGCCAUCGCUCAACGGAUAAAAGGUACUCCGGGGAUAACAGGCUGAUACCGCCCAAGAGUUCAUAUCGACGGCGGUGUUUGGCACCUCGAUGUCGGCUCAUCACAUCCUGGGGCUGAAGUAGGUCCCAAGGGUAUGGCUGUUCGCCAUUUAAAGUGGUACGCGAGCUGGGUUUAGAACGUCGUGAGACAGUUCGGUCCCUAUCUGCCGUGGGCGCUGGAAGACUGAGGGGGGCUGCUCCUAGUACGAGAGGACCGGAGUGGACGCACCACUGGUGUUCGGGUUGUGAUGCCAAUUGCAUUGCCCGGUAGCUAAGUGCGGAAAAGAUAAGUGCUGAAAGCAUCUAAGCACGAAACUUGCCCCGAGAUGAGUCUUCCCUGAGACCUUUGAGUCUCCUGAAGGGACGUUGAAGACGACGACGUUGAUAGGCCGGGUGUGUAAGCGCAGCGAUGCGUUGAGCUAACCGGUACUAAUGACCCGAGAGGCUUAACCUUACAACGCCAAAG